Molecule: long non-coding RNA, 498 nt
Organism: Capsicum annuum
Lineage: Eukaryota; Viridiplantae; Streptophyta; Magnoliopsida; Solanales; Solanaceae
Exons: 2
Source: RefSeq, a predicted model, not a curated record
CCCAUAAUACAAAUUCACUAUGUUCUCUCCUUCCAAAUUAUAUUCUCAAGAACAUAAAAAAUAAGGUUUUUCUCUUCAAAAAUUCAUAAUCCAAAUUUAAAAAAUUUCUCUCGUCGUUCAUCUCUAAGGUACGUAAGAGCAAUAUCUUUCAUGAAGAAUCAUGAUCAUCCCCACAAGUGAGUCAAAAUUCCAUGCUAAGUCAUGAUUUUAAGACUCGGAACUGCAGUUAGACCUUUCCUGUAUCAGCUUGUGGGUGAUUCAUCUUUGCACCCAGAGGACUUGGUGAUGGUUUUGUUAUAUUUUCAACUUAUUAGAUAGUUUUAGUUCCAAUUGUUAUUUUCACUAAAGGUAGUUUGGGGUCAUGUCCCAGCAAAUCUUUCAAUUCAUGAGUUAUAGAGGCUUCAUUAGACAUUAGACAGAUGGAUGUUUUGUUAUCCUUUUAAAGUUGAUAUUCAGUAUUUCAAGUUAAUUAAACUUUGUCUUAUUUCUGGAGAUUUA